AGGAGGAAGUACAAGAGUGAGAAUAAGUGAACGCAGAAGGGCUGGAAGAUGAAGCAGACUGCAGUUGGUUCUCGCUGACACGCUCCACCAAGGAGGACCCGUGUGAGGAGAAAAUGCACCUGCUGCUGCUGUUCUAUCUCCUCCGCCGGCUCGCAGGCUCAUCUGCCAUCACUGGCCCAAAAGCAGUGAGCGGCCUAGAGGGAGACUCGUUGACUGUGAAGUGUCAAUACAGCCCUGGGUGGGAGACGCAUGAGAAGUGGUGGUGCCGAGGAGCUGCUUGGAGCAGCUGCGAAUUCGUCGUUAAAACCACUGAACCAGAGAAGGAGGUGAAGAAGGGCCGCGUGUCCAUCAGGGACAAUAGGAAAAGCCGCACCAUCGCCGUGACCAUGGAGAAGCUCAGGCUAAACGAUGCAGACACUUACUGGUGUGGGAUUGAGAGAUUUGGAACUGACCUUGGGGUCCGAGUUAAAGUGACCAUUAACCCAGCACCCAGCGCAGUGCCGGCCACCACUCCUGCCACCUCUGCUAUCAACGUGUUCACAGUGUCGGUCAACCUGGAAGAGACCAGUGACUCCCUGGCUGUAACCAGCCCCGACUCCAACAGCGGCAGUGUGUUCCUGAAGGCCAACACCCUCCUUCCCUUCAUCUUUGUUGUGCUGCUUCUUCUCUUGAUGGUGACCUCACUUGUGGUUUGGAGAAUGAUGAAACAACAGAAGAAAGCUGCUGAGAUAUCCCCAGAGCAGGCGCUUCAGCCCAAGGAGGGCGACAUCUGCUACGCAAACCUGAGCCUGCCGCAGACUGAAAACUCUGUGUCGUCCCAGAAGAAGGCUUCCACGAGGUCCUCUUCCCCCGCCCAGGCCAACACGGAGGAAGUGGAGUAUGUCACCAUGACUCCCUUUCUCAGGGAGGACAUUGCCCGUGCAGCUCUGUCUUUGGAAACCUCAGAUCAAGAGCCAACCUAUAGCAACAUGGAGCACCUCAUCACCUGCAUUCCCAGCAGGAGCCAUGAGGAACCCACAGAAUACAGCGCCAUCAGGAAGCCUUAGCCUGCGCUCCAGGGGCCCCUCUCAGACCCACUCGAGGCCUCUGAGAGGGAGGCAAGAAGGUCACAGAGGAGAAGACAGUGUGAUGGUGGGAGCAAAGGUCGGAGUGAUGCAGCCAGGGCCCGCAGAACGCCGCAGCCUCCAGGAGCUGAAAAGGCAGGAACGGAUCCUCCCCAGAGCCCCCGGAAGGAGCCAGCCCGGCUGACGUCUUGACUUUAGCCCAGUGAAACUGAUUUCAUACUUCUGGUCUCCAGAAUUGGUCCUGGCAGCUCUCCCUCUGGAAUCCUGAAUCUCAUCCCAGCUUGCCAUCUCCAUGGUUACCAAACUAGUCCAGUUCCCGGCCUGGAGUCCCUCUUGUUCUCUGCUCCUGAGUCCAGUCUCCUCCUAGCAGCCAGAGGGAUCUUUUUAAAGCACAGACCUGAUCACUCCCUGCUUGUAACCUUCCAGUGGCUUCUUCCACAGCCCGAGGCCCCCAGGGUCCAUGGGUCCCUGCCUGCCCCUAAGACCCUCUCUCUGGCUACUCUGCCUCUCACUUGCCCUGCUCUGCCCACACUGGACUUUCUUCCAUCCUUCUAACAAGAUAAUACGUGGUCCCUUCUCAGGGCGUUGACACUUGCUAUUCCUUCUUUCUGGAAUGCUCUUCCAACGGAUAUGUGAAUAGUUAGGUUUGCCAAAGAGAGAGAAAGGCAG
Molecule: RNA transcript, 1733 nt
Organism: Orcinus orca (killer whale)
Lineage: Eukaryota; Metazoa; Chordata; Mammalia; Artiodactyla; Delphinidae
Gene: CD300LF
Gene name: CD300 molecule like family member f
Exons: 9
Source: RefSeq, a predicted model, not a curated record